AUCCAUUUCGAUUACAUGUGCUAAAUUUUGUGGUCUCUGAAAUGAUAUACAGUAAUGGGCUGUUUCAGCAAAUAUAAUCAAAUCGUUUCAUUUACUUUAGCAUGCAAAUUCAAGCUCCCUACUGCAGUUUGGAACUGAAAAAAAGUUGCCCGCACGGCAGAUGCUGAUGGCUUUGUUUUAUUCUCCUUCGGCUGAGAGCAGGCUUGAUAGACUUUCUCUGUAAACUCUGAAUUCUAGACCGGCAUCUCCUACCGCCUACCGAGGGGUUUCCCAGCCAAUCUGAAUGUGAAUUUAAGCAAAAGAUGAUAGAAGAAAGAAUUGGACUCCUGUUUUUGAAUGAAAAUAUGUAUAUAAGUCAGCCAAUAUGGACCCACUCCUGUCAUACAAGGGAACAAUGAAUAUGACUUCUCUUCUCCUCUCCCUCUCAGGUGGCAAAGGCAAAAGACUCCGUUUCUGUCGACUUCAAAGCCUGUUCUCACUCACUAACGCCAAAAGCCU
RNAcentral lists this long non-coding RNA (498 nucleotides) under Ursus maritimus (polar bear). RNAcentral's name for it is "lncRNA (ENSUMAG00000018877.1)". The record is from RNAcentral. Lineage: Eukaryota; Metazoa; Chordata; Mammalia; Carnivora; Ursidae.